This 293-nucleotide ribosomal RNA is filed under the name uncultured bacterium. RNAcentral's name for it is "partial 16S ribosomal RNA". It matches the Rfam family "Bacterial small subunit ribosomal RNA", at positions 775 to 1067 of the family's 1533-position model. The record is from RNAcentral.
GGAUUAGAUACCCUGGUAGUCCACGCCGUAAACGAUGUCUACUAGCCGUUGGGGGACUUGAUCUCUUAGUGGCGCAGCUAACGCGAUAAGUAGACCGCCUGGGGAGUACGGCCGCAAGGUUAAAACUCAAAUGAAUUGACGGGGGCCCGCACAAGCGGUGGAGCAUGUGGUUUAAUUCGAAGCAACGCGAAGAACCUUACCAACUCUUGACAUCCAGAGAACUUAGCAGAGAUGCUUUGGUGCCUUCGGGAACUCUGAGACAGGUGCUGCAUGGCUGUCGUCAGCUCGUGUCG